UGGUGUUGUGAACCACCAGUGUGUUUUUGUUAUUAUAUGUGGGUAUAAUUUUUCUAAAAAUGGCAUUCCUAAUAACAUAUCUUUUGUAGUUAAUUCAAAGUUAUAUAUUUCCUCUAUAGUUAGUAUCUUAUCCCAUAUUUAUACUUUUAUAUUUUUUGCGUUAUAUGUGAUCAUGCUUCCUUCAUUAUUAAAUCCUGUUACUACUAUUGGUGUUUAUAAUUUUUC
RNAcentral lists this long non-coding RNA (225 nucleotides) under Solanum tuberosum (potato). RNAcentral describes it as "long non-coding RNA (STUB_LNC011632)". The record is from RNAcentral. Lineage: Eukaryota; Viridiplantae; Streptophyta; Magnoliopsida; Solanales; Solanaceae.